This 96-nucleotide non-coding RNA is filed under the name Rheinheimera pacifica. RNAcentral describes it as "GEMM cis-regulatory element". It matches the Rfam family "c-di-GMP-I riboswitch aptamer". Rfam says of the family: GEMM was predicted in a large-scale screen for bacterial structured RNA regulatory elements. Genes associated with GEMM are involved in a diverse array of functions, including chemotaxis regulation, signal transduction, secretion and chitin. Lineage: Bacteria; Pseudomonadati; Pseudomonadota; Gammaproteobacteria; Chromatiales; Chromatiaceae. The record is from RNAcentral.
ACAAUUAAAAGGCAAACUGUACCGAAAGGUCAGGACGCAAAGCCGCUGGUCUAAUAAUGUUCGUUACGAAUGUUAAUGAUGGCAGUGGUUGCAUUA